CUCGGUGAGUACAGCGGCGGAAGGGUGAGUAAUACAUGGUUAACGUACCCUCCAGUUGGGGAUAACCCUCCGAAAGGUGGGCUAAUACCGAAUAAUGGCAAGAGGCGGCAUCACUUCCUGCUUAACGACGCAAGUCGCUGGGGGAGCGGACCAUGGCCUAUCAGCUAGUUGGCGGGGUAACGGCCCACCAAGGCGAUGACGGGUAGCCGGACUGAGAGGUUGAACGGCCACACUGGGACUGAGACACGGCCCAGACACCUACGGGUGGCAGCAGUAGGGAAUCUUGCGCAAUAGGCGAAAGCCCGACGCAGCGACGCCGCGUGGAGGAUGAAGGCCUUCGGGUUGUAAACUCCUUUCAUGAGGGAAGAACACUGACCUAACCUCAGGAAGAAGCACCGGCUAACUCCGUGCCAGCAGCUGCGGUAAUACGGGGAGUGCAAACGUUGUUCGGAUUCACUGGGCGUAAAGGGCACGUAGGCGGCUCGGCAAAUCAGUCGUGGAAUCCCGUCGCUUACCGGCGGAACGGCGGCUGAAAAUACCGGGCUCGAGGGCGUGAGGGGUCACUGGAACUCUUGGUGAAGCGGUGAAAUGCGUAGAUAUCAAGAGGAACGCCGGAGGCGAAAGCGAGUGACUGGCGCGUUCCUGACGCUGAGGUGCGAAAGCUAGGGGAGCAAACAGGAUUAGAUACCCUGGUAGUCCUAGCCGUAAACGAUGGACACUGAGUGGAGGAGGGCUUGCCUUUCUCUG
RNAcentral lists this ribosomal RNA (747 nucleotides) under uncultured Omnitrophica bacterium. RNAcentral describes it as "bacterial SSU rRNA". It matches the Rfam family "Bacterial small subunit ribosomal RNA", at positions 82 to 845 of the family's 1533-position model. Lineage: Bacteria; Pseudomonadati; Candidatus Omnitrophota. The record is from RNAcentral.